This 460-nucleotide ribosomal RNA is filed under the name uncultured bacterium. RNAcentral describes it as "partial 16S ribosomal RNA". It matches the Rfam family "Bacterial small subunit ribosomal RNA", at positions 338 to 795 of the family's 1533-position model. The record is from RNAcentral.
CCUACGGGUGGCUGCAGUGAGGAAUAUUGGUCAAUGGACGAGAGUCUGAACCAGCCAAGUAGCGUGAAGGAUGACUGCCCUAUGGGUUGUAAACUUCUUUUAUAUGGGAAUAAAAUGUUCCACGUGUGGCUUUUUGUAUGUACCUUAUGAAUAAGGAUCGGCUAACUCCGUGCCAGCAGCCGCGGUAAUACGGAGGAUCCGAGCGUUAUCCGGAUUUAUUGGGUUUAAAGGGAGCGUAGGUGGAUUGUUAAGUCAGUUGUGAAAGUUUGCGGCUCAACCGUAAAAUUGCAGUUGAGACUGGCAGUCUUGAGUACAGUAGAGGUGGGCGGAAUUCGUGGUGUAGCGGUGAAAUGCUUAGAUAUCACGAAGAACUCCGAUUGCGAAGGCAGCUGACUGGACUGCAACUGACACUGAGGCUCGAAAGUGUGGGUAUCAAACAGGAUUAGAUACCCCUGUAGUC